GCUCAGCGCAGAUUCUACCAGUACCUCCAGACCCGCAAGUCCGGGUGGCCCGGGCCUGGGUCUUCACCUCCUGCCCCUCCCAGCAGAUAGCUCGCAUCCCCUCCAGGUUCUUCCUCCUCAGCCCUACCGCAGCCAACUGCAGCAACCGGUUCUCGUCCUUCUCUAAAGCCUCCCGACUCAGAGCUCCAGGGUAGGUUUCAGCUUCUCCCCACAGCACCGACGGGACAGGAGUUAGGGAACACAGGUCAUUUUAAACAGGAUAGUCGGGAAGUUGGACAGCCCGGGAGGCGGAAUGCUUUUGCGCUGGGUCCUGAGGAGGGACUGAUGGCCAGAAAAAGCUGAGUGGCACGAUGAGACAAUAUGCUGGGCCUUCAGAAUGAGGCCAAAGCCCUAUUCCUGGAGCCCACCCGACCUUCAAGGACCAGUGCUUCCUCCCACCAGUGCCCUUACUAGGGACAUCUGCUGGUGAAGAUCUAACCCACCAGAGCAGAAGAGAGGGGACUUGUCUCUGCCUCUCCUCUUUGGUCCAAAUAAGCCAGUAAAAUGUCCCAGCUGCGGCUCACAGACCCAGCUACCGCCUCCUCAGGGUGCUGAAGGGAUGGUGGGUUUCACCCCUCACCCCACUCCGCCCCCAUCAGAAAAGAGAGGAACCGGGUGCUUCAGCUGUUGUUUAUUGACACACAGGUAGGCUCUAUAGCAACGGGCCUGGAGGCGGCUGCAGUAGUGGGGAAAAUGGGAGGGUGGAGUGUGCCUGCAGCGACAGCUGAGUGUAGGAACAGACGUGCACAAUGCACAAGGGGGAAGUGGGGGAGACGGAGGGGGGUGGAGAAGCAAGUAAGGGCCCGAGCCAGUCUCCUGAAACUGGAACCACUGCCCUAUGCUGCUACUCUUGCUGGUGGUCUCUUGACCCCAGGCCAGGAUUGGGAGUUCUCUGAGCAUGUUUUCUACAGGAACAGAAUGGAGUACGCAGAGGAGAAGAAGCAGGAGCUGUUGCCCUCCAGGUUAAACUCCAGGGCUUCCAGUCCUGCACCCUU
Molecule: long non-coding RNA, 1034 nt
Organism: Mustela lutreola (European mink)
Lineage: Eukaryota; Metazoa; Chordata; Mammalia; Carnivora; Mustelidae
Exons: 3
Source: RefSeq, a predicted model, not a curated record